Alligator sinensis (Chinese alligator) is the source of this 1890-nucleotide long non-coding RNA. RefSeq lists it as uncharacterized. The transcript has 3 exons. The record is from RefSeq and is a predicted model, not a curated record. NCBI's taxonomy places the organism in Eukaryota, Metazoa, Chordata, Crocodylia, Alligatoridae.
AAGGUGAGAGACCAGGAGUACAGACAAACAUUCUCUUUAUUGAGCUACACAUGAAUUUUCCAUUAGUCAGAGAAAGAGAUUGGCAGUGUCUAAUAUAUCACAGAAACCUCACUGAUUGGUAAUAGAAAGGCUUAGAAAGACCUGGCGCUUUAUAUAUAUAUAUUUUUUUUAGUUUCCUCUUUAUUUAUUCAUUUUAUUUUAAACAGGUGUGACUGGUUUUCUUCAGCAAAGGUAACUCUUAAAAGUGAAACUGUGAAGACAUCUGAUUACUAAUCAAAGUAGAAAUGAUGAAGGAUUGGUCAUGAAAUCUGUGGCUUCAAUGUAAACACUACAUUCGAUUAUGUUUUUUUAUAGUUUUUGUGGUUUUUGUGUGUGUUUUUUAAAAUUUUUUAAAUCAUUUUCUUUCUUUCUUUUUUGGUUUUUUUUUUUUUGUUGUUUUUUAAAUUAUUUUUGCAGCACAAACAUCCCCACAUGAGAGAGAAAAAACAUUCACUAAAAGGAAGGAUCGGAGGAGGGAAAAAGCAGCACAAAAAGCAUUCACUGGAAAGAGUUAAAAAUUAAAAAAAACAAAACAAAAAAUACCCCAAACAAAACUAUCCUCCCCAAAGCCCACAAAUCAACCCCCAAAAUAAAUAAAGAAGAGGAAGCCUAUAUGCUUCUAAAUGUAAAGACUCAGCUAAAACCAGAUCUACAGCAUUCUACAGAAACACACAGCCACCAUUCCAUGUUCAGAACAUUAUACAUCGACUCAAUAAGGAAGGCUGUGUCUUAUACAAAGGCCAAAAGGUCAUGCUACCGAAGUUGCUUUGCUAUACAGGGUGAGAAGGUAUCAGUACAAGCCGCAGCCUCGGAGAUUGUUGGCAAUAAUGAUGUCAGUGACAGCGUCGAAUACCACCUGGAUGUUGUUCGUGUCUGUCGCGCAAGUCAUAUGACAGUAGAUCUCCUUGUUGGGGGAGCGGUUUUUGCUUUCAAAUUGUGCUUGGAUAUAUGCUGCCGCAUCUUCAUAAGUGUUUGGACCUGCAGACAGAAAAACAAACAGGAAAAGAAAGAGAAUCUCUGUUAGAGGCCUUUUGGGCAUAAGAAUGAAUACUCUGGAGGAGAAGUGUCGAGAGGAGGUUGUUGUAUUGUCCUCUUCAAGAUCAUCUAAGAGGGUCAACCUCUACAGAAGGCUUAAAGAGGCUAGUUGGUUUUUCUGUGCUUCUGUUUUACAGCAGAGAAUCAGGUUCCAGGUGCCCUCUCCUUCAUUCUAGCAGAUUCUACGGAUGAUUGCAGAUCUAGUGAGAUGGUAACAUCACAAGUAUAGUUUGAGCAACUCAAAGGGGGAAGAGAUUUCUCUGGGCUAGAUCCUCAGCUGACACAAGUCAGUUAGCUCUAUUAAUUUCAAGAGUAACACUCCUGUAUGUGAGCUGAGGAGUUUGCAUUCUUUUGUUGUUACUUACUUGACUCCAACACCUGAACAAACAGCUGGGGGGAAAAGACCUCUCUGUUAAAUAUUCAGCAGUGUUUCCCCUUCUCUCCCCUUAAUUUAAGGAUAUAGAAAGUUCCUACUACAACUCUCUCCAUCUCACGCAGGCCCCCAGAAAACCCAAGGAAGAUAUGGCUUGAUGCUGUUCAUGAGGUGAAAAGCAAGCAGAAAACAUAAAACUCAAAUAAGUCAACUUUGCAGAUUGUAUUUAUUCAUCACAAAGAAGCUCCAAAAGUAACAAUCUAUGUGUUUUGUCCUCCUCCUUCGAUGUUACUGUUAAAGGUAGUGUCUGAAGUGUAGGAUCAGUGCGGUGCUAGGCCAUGUAACUAUUGUGAUCUUAAUAAAAAGUGCUUUGUUGUAAUAUUUAUUUUAGCUCUUUGUCUGCAGGAAGAUCAGCAGUGCAACAGGCAUAUUUUGUUAACUUG